UCACUUUCAACAACGGAUCUCUUGGCUCUCGCAUCGAUGAAGAACGCAGCGAAAUGCGAUAAGUAGUGUGAAUUGCAGAAGUACCGUGAAUCAUCGAAUCUUUGAACGCAAAUUGCACUCUCUGGUAUUCCGGGGAGUAUGCCUGUUUGAGGGUCGCU
This 158-nucleotide ribosomal RNA is filed under the name Glomus sp. 'Bad Sachsa'. RNAcentral's name for it is "5.8S ribosomal RNA". It matches the Rfam family "5.8S ribosomal RNA". From Rfam's summary of the family: 5.8S ribosomal RNA (5.8S rRNA) is a component of the large subunit of the eukaryotic ribosome. Lineage: Eukaryota; Fungi; Glomeromycota; Glomeromycetes; Glomerales; Glomeraceae. The record is from RNAcentral.